AUCUCGUGGGAGUCACCAAGCCCAAGGCUGGGCAGAUCUCCUGGGGACAGAACAAGAUUUUUCAGGUGACAGGCAUCUGUGUGUUUCCAUGGAUAGAUCACGUGACUGAGUCAAAUUUAGUCUUCACCUCAAAGGAGAAUCUGGUGACUUCCACACUCUGAUGACUAGUACUUCCCUGUGUCUCGUCCAAUAUAGAAGAUAUCAAUUUUUAUUCCUUGUCCUCCAAGUUUCCUUCAUGACAUGUAAUCUCCUUCCACCUGGGUCCCUCCAGUAUGAGACUCUUCACCCAGCAUUCAAACCCCCUUAUAUAGACUCUCUCUCUCUCUCUCUCUCUCUCUCUCUCUCUCUCUCUCUCUAACCUCUCUCUAUUAUUACCUACCACUCUAUUCUCAUCCUUGGUCAGACCCUGCCUUCUGAGGAGCUUUUCUGAUGAGGUCCUCUGUAAGUUGUACCCUGCUCUCUCUCCUCUUGUGGUCCUCUGCUCUAACUUCUGUCA
RNAcentral lists this long non-coding RNA (496 nucleotides) under Marmota monax (woodchuck). Lineage: Eukaryota; Metazoa; Chordata; Mammalia; Rodentia; Sciuridae. The record is from RNAcentral.